Molecule: long non-coding RNA, 10884 nt
Organism: Gasterosteus aculeatus aculeatus (three-spined stickleback)
Lineage: Eukaryota; Metazoa; Chordata; Actinopteri; Perciformes; Gasterosteidae
Source: Ensembl
AAAUCAAAGACUGGAUGUGUCAAAAUUUCCUACAACUAAAUGAAGACAAAACUGAGAUCAUUGUAUUUGGUGCUAAAAAAGAAAGGUUUAAAGUAACCCAACACCUUCACUCUCUGUCCCUGAAAACAUCAAAUAAAGCCAGAAAUCUGGGGGUUAUUAUGGAUUCAGAUUUACACUUGGAGAGUCACAUCAAAUCAGUAACAAAAUCGGCCUACUACCACCUCAAAAAUGUAGCAAGACUUAGAGGGCUCAUGUCAGCUCAAGACUUGUACAUGCCUUUAUAACUAGUAGGCUAGACUAUUGUAAUGGUCUCCUUGCAGGUCUUCCAAAAAAACUGUCAGGCACCUCCAGCUUGUUCAGAACGCUGCUGCUAGAGUUCUAACAAAGACCAAAAAAUAUGAGCACAUUACACCAAUUCUUAAAUCCUUACAUUGGCUCCCAGUAUGUCAGAGAAUUAAUUUCAAAAUCCUACUGCUCACAUAUAAAUCACUACAUGGUUUAGGGCCAAAGUAUAUCACUGAUAUGCUUCCACUACAUAAGCCUUCAAGAUCACUAAGAUCUUGUUUGUUGCGUAGUAACUAAAUGAUGCUUUCCCAUGAUUUGUAUUUACUCUGGGAAUCACUAACAGAUUGGUGUCAGAAGCGUCAGAGCGUGUCCUCAAAAGAAACCUGCUGAGCAGGAUGGCGCCAAGGAAAACCCAAGCCAGCAGCAGGACAGAGGAGACAAGCAAGGCGGCCAGGAGCGACAACAGGGGGAGGCAGGUAGCGUGCAACAGGUGAGCAGAGAGGAGACAAGCGGGGUGCAGGAGGUGGAAAAAGAGGGGAAAAGGGUGGACCAGCAAGUCGAAAAGGAGGGGACAGAGAUGGGUCAGCAGGCGGAAGAGGAGGGGACAGAGGUGGUCCAGCAGAUGGAAAAGGAGGGGACAGAGGUGGUCCAGCAGGUUGGAAAAGAGGAAACUGAAUCGGUCCAGCAGGUAGAAGAAGAGGGGACAGUGGGGGCUCAGGUGAGUGCACAAGGGCAGGGCAACAGCCAAGUGUGCACUGGAAGACAGGUGGAGACGGGAAGGAGACAGAAAAUAGUAAAGGAAAAAGGAAAAGAUGAGAGUGAAAAACUGGUGAAAGAAACUAGGUUCAAGGGGAGUGAGGUGGACAUGGAGGCAGAUGAGGAGGUGAUUAAAAUUCCUCAGCUGAAGAGAAAGACAAGGAGUAGGGAAGGCUCACAGGCCAAAAAAGUGACCCAGGUUGAAAUCUGGCAAUAUAUUACAUUGGUUUUGCCGUCCCCUGGCCCUUUAAGAUGUGAUCUCACGCAACCCCAGCCACGUGACUGUGCUUGGCCAAUAGCGCAGUAGAGCACGAGUUUAAACUAGGCUGCAGUGUCUUCCUCAUUCAGAGGUGUGGGGAAGCUGAUCGGCAGCUGUGGACAGAAUACCUUAGUGUCUGGAGACGAAUGAUGGCGAGCUGGAUUACCAUUGCUGGGAGCCUACCAUCCGUGUAGCAUCCACUGAAUAGCCAUCCUACUGGUCUGGUAGGAAGGUUGUCCACAGCCUGCCCCCGCACACUCCUCCAUAGACUAGUGCUUCAAUCCCACAUACAGAUCCUUUCACUUGAUAAACAAUAACCUACGGACUACUCAAUACAAACAUUCCAUGGUCUUGUAUACCAUCCAUUGCAGGGGCGGUUCUUUUUCCCUUUUGUUUUUGUGUGGUAUUUCCGGUAAUUUGUAUUAGUAUAGCGUGAACAACCACUACAAAGUGUGCUUAAAUAUAACCGGUUCAACUGCAGUCUGUAAAUAUUUUGAUUCUUUUCUUUUUUCUUCUUUCAUUAUUUCUAUUUGUAAAUAUUUUGUUUAAUUAUUUUGCAAUACAUGGUACCUGCACCAAAUUUAAACUUAUGUUUCUGUGUUGUUACUGACCACCAGCUCCUGUAGCCGAAUUUUGACUUCAGAGCAGCGUUAUCCACGCUAUACGCUCUAAUUCAGGGCGGGAGCUCAGAGACACAAACAAGAUCCGGAGGAGAGCGGCAAGUUUUUACUCUGAACUUUACUCUGACGAAUAUGAGGACAAUAUCGAACUGUUUGAGUAUUUCUGUGGAGAGCUACCAAAGGUCCCGGAAGAGGUGAAUGCCGGGGUGGAGGGUCUUCUGAUGGCAGAUGAACUGUACGCUGCUCUGCGGGGCAGGGAGGGCGGGAAGGCCCUAGGAAUAGAUUGGAUCCCGGUGGAGUUGUAUAAAGAGUUCUGGAGCGAGAUGGGGAAGGAUCUUUUAACCGCGUUGAAAGAGAGUUUUAAAGACAUAAUGCUACCGCUCAGUUGCAGAAGGGCAGUAAUAACUCUGCUACCGAAAAAAGGAAACCUGCAGAAAAUGAAGAACUGGCGUUCAGUGUCACUUCUCUGCUCGGAUUACAAAAUACUGUCCAAGGCACUGGCCAACCGGCUGAGAGAGGUGAUGACCUAGGUCAUCCACAAAGACCAAACCUACUGUGUGCCUGGUAGGAGUAUACUGGACAAAGUGUCAUUAAUUAAUUAAUUCGUGAGAUUUUGAAUAUCUCUGGUUCUUUGGGCAUUAGAACUGGUGUCAGUUCGUUAGACCAGGAAAAGGCUUUUGACCGGGUUGAGACCCUUGGAGGUCAAGUUUUAAAGGGUUUUAAUAAAGGUUUUAUUUUAUUAGCUUAUGCUGACGACAUUGUCAUCUUUGUUAGAAACCAGAAAGAGGUCAGUGCACUGACCACAGUUGUUAAAAACUUUGGCACCUUGUCAGGCGCAAAGGUUAAUUGGGUGAAGAGCGAGGCACUGUCAGUAGGGAACUGGAGGGAGGGUCUGCCCAGCCUACCGGGGGGGCUGACCUGGAAAAAAGACAGGUUUAAAUACCUUGGCGUGUAUGUAGGGAAUGAAUGUAUUGUUAAGAAGAACUGGGAGGGGGGUUGUGGAGAAAAAGGGAAGACUGGCUAAGUGUAAGUGGCUGAAGUCACAGAUGUCAUAUAGAGGCAGGACUCUGGUGAUAAACAAUCCGGUGGCAUCGGCUCUGUGGCAUAAACUGGCCUGCAUGCACCCCCCUAAAGGCCUCACACAGAAGCUACAGGCCAUCCUCACAGAUUUUUUUCUGGGACAGGCUGCACUGGAUCCCACAGAGCGUACUCUUUUUACCCAAAGAGGAAGGGGGGCAAGGGCUCGUGCAUAUCGAGAGCAGAGUGACCACCUUCAGGAUCCAGUUUUUACAAAGGUAUCUCACAGGCCAGACAGAUGUGGUAUGGAUAGGGGUGACAGACUGUAUUUUAAGGAAUGCAGCUGGUCUGGGACUGGAUACCGCACUUUUUCUAAUGGAUUUUAACCUUUGUAAAUUGGGUGGAUUAUCGCCGUUUUAUCAGUCACUUCUUAAAGCAUGGAACUGUUUUAAAUGGGAGAGACCAGAACCCACGUCCUCGCUACACUGGCUGCUUCAGGAACCGCUUGUGUUCGGAGCCAGGCUAGAUAUCCAGGACGGCACGAUACCAGGACUGACCAGCAUGCUGUGCUCCUCUGGAACCACCGCCCUGGGGGGACUGGUGGAUGUAGUUGGUCCUGAACUGGCAGACGCAUCGGCAGUGGCGUCACGACUCAGGCUAAAAUCUAUCCGGCAGAGCACAAGGAUCUUAAGCGGGUGGGCAGAGAGGCUGACGGAAGACGAGAUGGAGAUGCUGCAGCAGUACGGAAGAGGAGAGGAGGCUCCAGAUGCUACAGAUCCCUUUCCGCAUCUAGGAUGUAUUCCGAACCUGGAUGGGGCCUUAGGACCACUACUCCAAGAAGCAGAUCGCAAACCCUUGGACUUCCAUAUGGUGAAGGGUAAAAUAAUCUACAAAAAAUGUGUAAAAGUGCUCAAAAAGAACAAACUGGACCAGAGAGCUGACACUGUGUGGAGGCAAAAACUAAACUUAGACAUUGGUGCGAAACCAGUGUGGAGGGUUUUAUACAAACCUCCCAUAAAAAAGAGAAUCGGAGAUCUUCAGUGGAGGAUUCUACACGGUGCCAUUGCUGUUAAUGCUUUUAUUUCUGUGAUUAAGCCUACAGUCUCUAAACGUUGUCUGUUCUGUGAGGAGGAGGAGACUGUGUUCCACUGUUUUUAUUAUUGUGAGAGGCUCUGUCGCCUCUUUAACACACUGCAGGAUGUAUUUAAAGGGUUUGGUGAGACCUGGUCCAGGGCAGCUUUCAUUUUAGGAGUCGGCUACAAGAAAGCGAACGCCUUCAAAUGGAAGCCGAUUGCCAGUUUUGCCUCUCCGACCAAGUGGUUAAUCUACACAAGUAGGAAAAAAAAAGUAGAAGAAAGAGUAGGGCAGGAAGCCCUCAAUAUUUUCAUUGCACUAAUCAGAGCUAGAAUCUGGGUUGAUUUUAGGUUUUUCAAUAGCAUGGAUAAAAGAUUUUAAUGAAAAAUAGUGCUACGAUGAAAUAUUAUGUUGUGUGCUAGUAAGAACUAGUUUUUAAACCUCCUUUCAAUACAAUGUGAGAAGCUACUGGUUUGUACGGCUAUGUUUUUUUUUGUUUUUUUUGAUCGUUCAUAUUGUUUUUAAGUAAAAUAAAGGUUUUCUAAAAUCAAAAUCUCUCUCUCUCUCUCUCUCUCUCUCUCCAGCAUGCUCUCUGGAUGUUCCUGGCAUGCACAAGCAGAGGCGUCAUUUUGGAUUUACUUAUGGGGCAUGAUUGUGUAUGUGAGAGCACACAUAGGCAAAUUUGUACAAUGCUUGGGCGUUUGAGCCAUUUAGGAAACCUGAAGUACAUUGUGUUAUUUUUUUUUCUGCCUAGUUUAAGCUUCUGGCUUAAACAUUUGUAUGAGAACAGUGGGACAUAUGUUAGGCUCCGACACAAGAAAGCACAUAUUCAAUAAUGUGUAGAACUGAGCUGCAUCCCCAUCCUAAGCAUUAUAUAUUAUAUUUUACUAAGCGAGUGUGUAGUCCUCUACACGGUUUUAUAUACAGCAUACAGGAUUUAUAUAUGUAUUUCUCAGUCUUAACUCCUGAAUUCUCAUCAAUAUUAAGCACAAUAUAUAUCAAACAUUUAUAUUUUGUACACUAAAAAAUAUGAUCAAAACUAUCCAUUACAUUAUUAAUGUGAGAAAGUUCUAACUGGUUGUGAUAAGUUGUAUUACAAGCCAAAGCACAUCUGGUUAAUGCUCUCUUUAGGAGCAUAGGGACAACAAAGUAUAUGUGAAGCAAAUAUUACAUGUAUUCAAACGAAGUAUUCUCAUACAACCUUGUGUGUGAUAUCUCAUGCAAAGAUAGUUCCUCAGAAACUCCGGCAGCAACAACGGUUACAGCUUGUUAAUUUCAUUUUCCCUCUCUAACAUCGUUGUUUUGGUUUAGCAUUAGUACUACUAUUAUAUAGUACAGGGGUCUUCAAUGUUUUUCAGGCUAAGAUCCCCCAAACUGAUGGCGAGAUGGAGCAGGGACCCCCUAUUCUACGGAGUUUGGUCCGCCAUCUUUUAUUUUUGAGCAUCAUGCUCUUUAGAUGUGAGAAUAAACGCUGAUUGGCUGGUGCCUGUGCUGUCGUAUUUGCAUGAAAGGUGCUGUGAAUGAAACGGUGCCCAGCUGAAUGUGUGCAUUGCGGACUGAAAGAUAAAAUCUUCUUCAUCAAUUUAUGCGUUCGCUACAAUAAGUUGGAUUCAUGUAAAUGUGUAUUUAAAGACAAAAAAAAAAAAAAUUGGUUGGGAAAAAAAUGUCUUAUGAUGUUGAAUACCUCUGAUAUAGUAUAGACAUGUAUUUGUAUUCUGUGCACUUUCUCAAAUUCAAACUGCACUAUCUUUUUACUAAAUAAAUUCGAGUUGAAAUCAUCCCUCAAUUUGGGUCGUGGCUUGUCAAUGAGCGAGAUUGUGGGUCCCGCUGCCAGAGCAGUUAAGUAUAUUCUGCUCAACAGAAAGGAAGCAUUGAUAUUUUCUCAUGUCGAUCUUUAGUCAUGUGACCAACUUACAUUAGGGGCGUACAUAGUCAUUUAAAAAUGUCAACUGUAUUUUUUUAACUUUUGUUAUUUUGCUACUUUAAUAACUUAUUUUUAAUGCCAAAAUACGUGUUUAGAGUGUAUAUCAACCCGCUAUGAUGACACGUGCAAAACUGGCGCCUGAGGGAUGAUAAGGGGGUCACAUGUUGGGCUUCAUGAUGCUGACCAAGCUACGUUUUCUUGACACAUUGAUGUGAGAAUGUGAGGCUCCUUCGCAGAACCAUCUGUCGAAUGCUCACUUGACUCUUCUUCUAUUUGCACAUUUCUCUGUAAAAACAAUUCUGCUCAUCUGUUUUUUUUAGCUGCAGGUGUAACACCAAGUAAUUUCCUCAUCUCAGCCUCUUUUAAUGUUUGUCAGUUCAAACAAUAUGGUCUCCUGCCCAUUGCUUUCUGGAGGGACCCCAGACUGCCAAUGUGACUGGCUCAGCCCCAAAGUCACUGAAGGGCAGUUGGCCAAUAACUGACCUUUGAUAGUUAAAACAGAUCCAACCACAUUCUACUUACUACUUACUCUUGUGGUUGAUAAAGAACACAUGUUUCAAGUUGUGGAAACACUGUACCAUUAUGGAACAGUUUCAGUUCAGAAUAGAGGUCACAAGGUUCAUGAGAAGAGGUUAGUGUCAGAGAGAACUCAGUGUGUAUGGGAUCAAUCAAUUUCCCCCCAACGCCCCUUAGAUUGCAUGGCCGCAUAGCCACGGUCCAACAUGAGUACUAGCUCCCUCCGCUUUACUGGUCGCACAAACACACAGAAGAAUGCACACAUUCUUGGCUCGCUCCUUAAGAUUAUUUAACACUUCCACAAGUGGGCUAGACUUGGCACAGUUGAAGAGAGAAGGCCGAAUGAGGAGCUAGAGCCAGAGUCACCCCCAAGAAUAUCUGGUGUACAGCUAACUGAUUAGCCACACAAACAGUGCUAAUGACCUUGACGAUUAAGAAGUAAUCAGUGGGUACCCAACCAGUAAAACCCCUUAAUAUUUAUGAGCCUGCAGAAGAUAGGGUCUGAUGGACUUUGACCAGAUAUAUUCCACACAAGCAGCCAUUUUAUUGUCACCACUUCAUUCUAAACCUUAUGUCACCAUACUUAUGAUUGUCACUUUCAUAUGGUAAAUCUGGGGACAUUUGAAGGUGCAUGUCAUCGAGGUGUAACAGGAUUUGCAACAAAGGGCACCAUAUUGUGCUUGUAUUGCCCACUUUCCCAGAGAAAACCUUUUGUUAUUGAAAAGGAAGAACAACCAAUGUUACCAUAGCGACCAAUGACUCUUGUCAAUAUCAACAGACAUCUCUCACAUCUCUCUCUGUGUCAGUGAACCCGCUUGUUUUUACAGUUAACAUAACUUCACUCUUUUCAUCAAGUGUCUUAAAUCUUCAUAAUGGAGUCUUUCUUUCAAACAUCACAUACUUUCAAUGCAGCUCCAUUGGUUAGUUUAAAAAUCAGAAUGUUUGCAAAUCAGAGGUCCAGAGCAGAUCCAGUCGAGAGGGUGGUAACAACACAGCUCUGGCCGUUUGGCUACAACAAUAACAUUUUAAUUACCAUUAGUUAGGUGACAACAAUCCAUAAACCUACACAAACACAUGUAUCAUAUUGAUGAAUAGGUGAUUCACAAAAUAUAUUUAGUGGUGGUGGUGUGAAAGAAUAACGUUUAGUUCAACAAGUUAAGCUUAUAAAGAUGGUCAUUAAUGUCAGUUAAAUGCUGCAAUGUCAGAAUUUAUGCAGCAGGCCUUUUUCCAUAUCCCCUUUAUCAGAUCAACUGACUGGCGUUUAUUGCUGUUUCCUGUUUCCUUUCAGCUUUUUCUCAUGCAAAACUUACACACAUAGGUAUGUAAAUUUGAGGAAUCAGUUGUAAAAUCUUUCCAGCUUCCCUUUUACUCCUUAGUAUUGCUAUGGAGCUGUUCUUUCAAAGAUGGUUUUGGUUCGUUUUUUUUCAUGUACAAGCGGUUAGUCCUGCCACUGAUAACAUGAGACAUUCAACUAACCUAGAAGUGGCCGUAAUACGUCACCUAAAAUGGUUGAGGUUUUAGCCACAUUAGGAAGUUUAGAACAGUCUUGCCUUGAAAAGUAUUUAGCAAAACUCCUCUUUGCCCAUCAAAUCACCCUUUGAUCACCCAACUUUUUAAAUAUUCACUUGCAGUAAUCUUAGAAUGUCUUUAAGUCCUUCCUUUUAUUCGCUGAAGACCUGGGACACCCCUUAAUAGCUCUUGAGAAGGAGAGGCUAAGGUGGCAGAGGCAGCAAAAUAAAUCCACACCAUAUUUUAUAGAGGGAACAUGAGAUGGUGAUAUUCUCACUCUGUUUUGAAUACCACAAAAAAGGUCGGACCACCCCAUUUUGAGUCCUGACCUGUCUCCUCUGCAGAUAUGUGGAGAGAGAGGAAGAGAAUAACACAGAGCAAGUCAAAGGAAUGGAGUGUAUGAGAAACGUACUGGACAGACAGAAAUUGAGAGUACCCAGUGGGAAAGAGCUGCACAGAGGCCACAGGCUGAGAAAGUGAUAAUAGACAGGGGGGCGGAGCAAUGAGAGAAGAAAUAUGGGUACUGGAAGUGUAGGAAGGGUCAGCAUAAUGUGUGCGACAUAAAGGGUUAAGUACGAACUGGCUGCUUCAGGGCAGAGAUGUUCUUUGCAAGACGUCACUGUUUCGCAUCAGCAGGUCAGGGACAAAGAGGGAAUGUGUCAAAUAUUAGUCAAUAGUCGGUCCCUUGAAUUUAUGUCACUCAGUUUAACUGGUAGACCUGACAGCAGGUUCAUUUGAGUGAACUGUCAGCUUUUUUUUUACUUUUGGGGAUUUUGACGUUACCAAAACUAACUAAAAUUUUAGACACUUUAGACAUUUGGCCUGCUUGAGGGGUAGCUUGAGGCACCAAACAGUAGAAAACCAAAAAUGCAGAUCGGUUUCAGGGCUUAACGUGUGUUAAUGUUCUACUUUAGUUUAACAAUGUUCUGUAGACAAUAAUGUGAGACAGAACUCAACAGAUCUGUUGACUCGGCCGAGCGGUCUUUCAUUAGACUCCAUAAGGCCUUUUUACACAAAGAUGCGCUUGCCUAGCUGUUGCUUGCCUAGCUACACAUUACCUUUGUAGAAAUAUGGCUAUUGCAGAUAAAGAUAGAAUCUUGCAACCAUAUUGUUUUGAACCACAGUCAGACCCUGAAAAAGAAGAGGCUCCCGAACAAGAAAAUAUAAAAGAGGACGUUUUUUUAAUCCUCAUUUAGCUGAUGUGGCUCCUUAGUUCCUCAACAUGUUUUGUUCACAAGGGCCACUAGCUUGCAGUCAAUCAAACGUCUCCAUUAACAUUAAGGAUAACAGACAUAUGCGCAGUUGGUCACUCAGUGAGCCUGUCAGUUUGUAAUCAGGCUCUUCCUGAUGCUGAUGGGAUCAAAGCAUCCAGAGUCCACUUUUAUCUUUGCCAUCAGCAGCCUCUUCCGUGGAUGUACUAUGGAUUUGCAGGUCCACCUAGUUCGGUAACAGUCCCUCCUUUUUUAUCACCUUCCUUUUCACUUUCAGUUUCUCUCUCUUUGUCCUUGUCAUCACACAGCCGGUAAGUGUUGUUUAUGAUUGUGUGUCUGUGUCCAGAUACAAGGUUAUUUCGAGAUGCCAGACUAGCGAUAGAUAAGGAUCCCAUACAAUCUAAUGGAGCUGAAGGGUCACACACACACACAGACACGUUCUCCAAACUACUUUAAUCCGUUUAGGGAGCAUGCUUUGUAUUUGAGGGACAGAGGAGUACAAUAGGAUAGGAUUUAGGGAAUUACCUUAUCGCAUUGUGUGAGUGCUAGCGUCCUUGUGUCUUAACAGUAACCUCGUCUAUGCUGUAACUCUCCCACCCUGCAGGCUUGACUUCAUCAAACCCCCAUACAUCAACAGAUCUUACUCUACUGUAUGAGUAGUUUUCACAGUGAUGCUUCAUGUCAGCGGUGUGUGUGCUGCUAUGGAUACCUCGACUACAAGAUGCACAAUACCUCUUAGGGAAAAAGAAUACUUUGGAGUUUUUUUCUCCUUUAAUAGAGAAUCUGGGAGUAAUAACCUGCAGCUUCUUCUGCUUCUUUCUAUUGCGGAUUGAUACUAAACAAUAGUGCUGAACACUAUGCAAUUUAUUUUGCCAUUGCAUCAGCGCACAGGUUGAUGGAGGUUUAAGUAGGUGUGAUCUCAGAGAUCAAGUCUUAAAAAGGGCUUUCAGAACGAACCAAUGUCAGUUAAUUCAGCAACCUUGGAGGGAAGGCCAAUUGAGAAGCUUGGGGCUUGGGCAUGGGAAUGAUUGAGGAUCUUGAGGAAUUUAUCAACAAAACAGGAUACAGGAUGGCAGAAGUGGUGAAAGAUGACUCAAAGAAGCAGGAAUAGCAACUGGAUCAAUUCAGUGGGUUAUUCGGUUUCCUUUAGCCAGUCAAAGCUUCUGCCUGCAUUGAAAGUUUGCCGAAAAAGCAGUUAUAAAAGACAGACAUUGGGUUAGUUGGAAAGCACUGUAAAAGCACAGCUUCCACCGCAAUGAUACAAACAUCCAGCUCCACAAAAAACUUACAAGAGGGGUCAAGUGGCGAUGUAAUUAGGGAAGAAAUUAGAGGGACACCUCACUUUAAAGUGCAAGGGUAUUUUGAUGAGUUUGCAAAUAAACAAUUCCAUUGUAGCAAAAGCAGAAUUUGUCAUUAAGAUUCUCAGGGCAGUCUUAACUACACCAGAAUAAUUUGAAGCAGCGAGGAGCUAUAAGGUCGAGGGAGGACAGCUGAAGCUUAAGAAAGGCUUAGAAACACUAGGUAGCUAUUAUGUGGUGCAAAGCUCUUAGAAAUGACAAUGAGACAAGAUGGUGCCAUGAUUCACUGAAACCAAUAUGUUAUUUGAUGAACAUUUUCAAUAACCUUUGACUAUGUGACUCAUCACUAGACAAAAUGACUUAUUAAGAUAUGUUGUUUCUGUACAGCGUGUACUGUCCUCUCACAUUUGUCUGC